UACGUAGGGUGCGAGCGUUAAUCGGAAUUACUGGGCGUAAAGCGUGCGCAGGCGGUUUUGUAAGACAGAUGUGAAAUCCCCGGGCUCAACCUGGGAACUGCAUUUGUGACUGCAUCGCUGGAGUACGGCAGAGGGGGAUGGAAUUCCGCGUGUAGCAGUGAAAUGCGUAGAUAUGCGGAGGAACACCGAUGGCGAAGGCAAUCCCCUGGGCCUGUACUGACGCUCAUGCACGAAAGCGUGGGGAGCAAACAGG
This 253-nucleotide ribosomal RNA is filed under the name uncultured bacterium. RNAcentral's name for it is "partial 16S ribosomal RNA". It matches the Rfam family "Bacterial small subunit ribosomal RNA", at positions 524 to 776 of the family's 1533-position model. The record is from RNAcentral.